This 450-nucleotide ribosomal RNA is filed under the name uncultured bacterium. RNAcentral's name for it is "partial 16S ribosomal RNA". It matches the Rfam family "Bacterial small subunit ribosomal RNA", at positions 354 to 796 of the family's 1533-position model. The record is from RNAcentral.
GUGGGGAAUUUUGGACAAUGGGCGCAAGCCUGAUCCAGCAAUGCCGCGUGCAGGAAGAAGGCCUUCGGGUUGUAAACUGCUUUUGUACGGAACGAAACGGUCCUGGUUAAUACCAGGGGCUAAUGACGGUACCGUAAGAAUAAGCACCGGCUAACUACGUGCCAGCAGCCGCGGUAAUACGUAGGGUGCGAGCGUUAAUCGGAAUUACUGGGCGUAAAGCGUGCGCAGGCGGUGCUGUAAGACAGGCGUGAAAUCCCCGGGCUCAACCUGGGAAUUGCGCUUGUGACUGCAAGGCUGGAGUGCGGCAGAGGGGGAUGGAAUUCCGCGUGUAGCAGUGAAAUGCGUAGAUAUGCGGAGGAACACCGAUGGCGAAGGCAAUCCCCUGGGCCUGCACUGACGCUCAUGCACGAAAGCGUGGGGAGCAAACAGGAUUAGAAACCCGAGUAGUCC